Long non-coding RNA from Equus caballus (horse), 1788 nucleotides. The record is from Ensembl. NCBI's taxonomy places the organism in Eukaryota, Metazoa, Chordata, Mammalia, Perissodactyla, Equidae.
ACCCAUUCAGCAUGGCUUAGUCAGCUAGGGCUCUUCAGGCCUGUGGGUCCACGGCUCAGAUGAACCACCUGGAUACGUUCCCGUGUGGAGCAUCCCCACCGGCUGAAAUGUGAUGAGUUACUGUUGCUACACAGGUGGCGACAGUCAGUUCCCACUUGUUCGUGCUGCUGAUGGGAACUGGGGCCUGUACAGGAACCACGGCUCCCACGUGUCUCUCAUUCCAGGACACUCUGGUCUCACCGAGCGAGGCUUCAGAGUUCUCGCGGUAUCUCGCUUUAAGGUGACUAGCCGCCUUAGUUCAGAACGGUGCCGUCCUGCGCAUUUGCAGAUGCUUCGUUUCACCCAAGAGCCUGCAAUGGUGACCUGGCCUCUUCUGACUCAGGUCCUGUCAGGGUACAAGGUCCAGGCUGGCCUAUAUUCCCCCUUGUUCCAGAGGGCUGUGAGGAACCCGGACGCACAGUUCACUCUCCCGCACCUGACCCAGCAGCCAGGACCUUCAGCAAGCAGGCCUCCCGGGUACCUCUUAUCGGAGGAGAGCUCCGCCCCACCCAGCUGUGCCAAGAUUUUCAAGUUUCCCCUGGAUCUGCCAGGGGAAACUUUUGGGAGGAAUAGACUGCACUGGUUAGGUUCCAGCUUGGAAUUAGACGCCCAGGUUCCCCAAGAGCCCGUGUCAGUGAUCCUGCCUCUCACCACCUUUGAACUCUUCCAGAUGCCUGGCUACGUUGAACGCGCAGCGCAUAGCAUGUGCAUGCGCAGUACGAGCCCACUCAGGAGGCCUUGGGCAGCUGGGGCCCUCCAGGCUUAUGGGGCCAUGGACGGACCUCACCAUCGGGAUGUUCUCCUGGGUGGAGGAGAACCCUCUGCAGUACUCUCUGGUUCUGCGGCUGCAGAGGCAUACCUGCGUGGCGUGGCGUGCCCCCUCUUCUUGGGAACUGAGGGCAUCAUCUAAUCAGUUGAAGGCCUUCAUAGAAAAAGACUGACUUCUCUGGAAGAAGAGGGGAUUCUGCGGGCAGACCAGCCUUGGACUCAAACUGCAUCUCUUUCCUGGGUCUCGACGCUGCAGAAUCACUUGAGCCAAUAUUUAAAAUAAAUCUCUCUCUCUCUCUCUCUAUCUCUCUCUGCCUCCCCCUCCCUCUCUCUCUGUGUGUAUAUAUAGUCUUGAAAAAUACUUUGUGCCCUGAUGGUUUCUUUUUCUUAUUUUGCAUAAUCCAGAUUUGUUUGUUUGUUUUUGUGCUUGGCAUAUUUAUCUUAUUGUAAAUAUAUAUCAUGUUGUGGGGGUGUGUUUUUCAAAAUCAGAAAAUGUGAUAUGAAAUUUGAACAUUAUAAAAUCAGACUGUGCUAGGUACAUUUAUUUUUUUAUGCCAAUCCUUAAAACAAUCCUGUGUGACAAAUGAUAUAUUCCUUCAAUGAAGAAGAAACUUCAGCACAGAACAUUUAAAUGCCAUUUCAAACUUCCAAAAUGUGCAGAUCAUGGAGCUGUGAUGGAAACCCAGAUCCAGCUGACUCCAAGUGACCCCCCCCGUACCCCCACCACCAGAUAAUGCACCCUCUACAAAGAAGAAAAGCUUAAAUAACCCAAUAUAACACAAACUCUGAAGGCCUCCACUAGACCCAUUUCAGAAGAGAAAUCUCUUAUGACUCAAUUUAACAUUUUGUUUGGAUGUGACAAUAUCUAAAGGAAGCAGAAUGUCUUUGUCAGCAUUCUUUCUUACAAAUAGGAAAAACCCAGCACAGAUUAGACCAAAAGAUGACAGUCUCAUGGCUGUCUAAUCCUCAGGACAGAAGUCC